AUCGCUUCUCGGCCUUUUGGCUAAGAUCAAGUGUAGUAUCUGUUCUUAUCAGUUUAAUAUCUGAUACGUCCCCUACCCGGGGACCAUAUAUUAAAUUGAUUUUUGGAGCAGGGAGAUGGAAUAGGGGCUUGCUCCGUCCCCUCCACGCAUCGACCCGGUAUUGCAGUACUUCCAGGAACGGUGCACCCUCU
RNAcentral lists this small nuclear RNA (191 nucleotides) under Anabas testudineus (climbing perch). RNAcentral's name for it is "U2 spliceosomal RNA (ENSATEG00000032490.1)". It matches the Rfam family "U2 spliceosomal RNA". Rfam says of the family: U2 is a small nuclear RNA (snRNA) component of the spliceosome (involved in pre-mRNA splicing). Lineage: Eukaryota; Metazoa; Chordata; Actinopteri; Anabantiformes; Anabantidae. The record is from Rfam by way of RNAcentral.